Molecule: ribosomal RNA, 545 nt
Filed under: uncultured bacterium
Lineage: Bacteria
Description: bacterial SSU rRNA
Rfam family: Bacterial small subunit ribosomal RNA
Source: RNAcentral
AAUAGAUACCCUGGUAGUCCACGCCCUAAACGAUGUCAACUGGUUGUCGGGGAAGCAAUUCCUUGGUAACGAAGCUAACGCGUGAAGUUGACCGCCUGGGGAGUACGGCCGCAAGGUUAAAACUCAAAGGAAUUGACGGGGACCCGCACAAGCGGUGGAUUAUGUGGAUUAAUUCGAUGCAACGCGAAAAACCUUACCUACCCUUGACAUGUACGGAACUUGGCAGAGAUGCCUUGGUGCCCGAAAGGGAGCCGUAACACAGGUGCUGCAUGGCUGUCGUCAGCUCGUGUCGUGAGAUGUUGGGUUAGGUCCCGCAACGAGCGCAACCCUUGUCAUUAGUUGCUACAUUCAGUUGGGCACUCUAAUGAGACUGCCGGUGACAAACCGGAGGAAGGUGGGGAUGACGUCAAGUCCUCAUGGCCCUUAUGGGUAGGGCUUCACACGUAAUACAAUGGCCGGUACAGAGGGCUGCCAACCCGGCGAGGGGGAGCUAAUCCCAGAAAGCCGGUCGUAGUCCGGAUUGUUCUCUGCAACUCGAGAGCAUG